GAUGAACGCUAGCUACAGGCUUAACACAUGCAAGUCGAGGGGAAACGAUAUUGGAAGCUUGCUUCCGAUAGGCGUCGACCGGCGCACGGGUGAGUAACGCGUAUCCAACCUGCCCACCACUUGGGGAUAACCCUGCGAAAGUAAGACUAAUACCCAAUGACGUCUCUAGAAGACAUCUGAAAGAGAUUAAAGAUUUAUCGGUGAUGGAUGGGGAUGCGUCUGAUUAGCUUGUUGGCGGGGUAACGGCCCACCAAGGCGACGAUCAGUAGGGGUUCUGAGAGGAAGGUCCCCCACAUUGGAACUGAGACGCGGUCCAAACUCCUACGGGAGGCAGCAGUGAGGAAUAUUGGUCAAUGGGCGAGAGCCUGAACCAGCCAAGUAGCGUGCAGGAUGACGGCCCUAUGGGUUGUAAACUGCUUUUAUAAGGGAAUAAAGUGAGUCUCGUGAGACUUUUUGCAUGUACCUUAUGAAUAAGGACCGGCUAAUUCCGUGCCAGCCGCCGCGGUAA
This 508-nucleotide ribosomal RNA is filed under the name uncultured bacterium. Its description in RNAcentral is "partial 16S ribosomal RNA". It matches the Rfam family "Bacterial small subunit ribosomal RNA", at positions 28 to 523 of the family's 1533-position model. The record is from RNAcentral.